Molecule: unclassified non-coding RNA, 244 nt
Filed under: Hevea brasiliensis (rubber tree)
Lineage: Eukaryota; Viridiplantae; Streptophyta; Magnoliopsida; Malpighiales; Euphorbiaceae
Source: RNAcentral
GGAAGAAGGAUCAUAUGCUCACCCUGACUUUUCCACUGCUUGAGUGUUUGUAUCUUCAAACCCUGACAACUUCUUUUGUCUGUCAAGUAUAUCAACACCAGAGUGGGAGCAUUCUCCUGGCAGCAAUGAUAAAUUUUCCCCAAAUCUCAUGACCUGAUCAGUAUUCUCUUAGCAGAAUCUCAUUCCAAUCUUCCUAGUACUUACUAAAAUCUCAAUUCAAGCAUCUUGUUCUUUUUACUUCCAU